GGAGAGAUGGCCGAGUGGUUUAAGGCGCACGCUUGGAAAGCGUGUAUAGAAUUAUCUAUCGUGGGUUCGAAUCCCACUCUCUCCGCCA
RNAcentral lists this transfer RNA (88 nucleotides) under Candidatus Pelagibacter sp. Its description in RNAcentral is "tRNA-Ser". It matches the Rfam family "tRNA". From Rfam's summary of the family: Transfer RNA (tRNA) molecules are approximately 80 nucleotides in length. Their secondary structure includes four short double-helical elements and three loops (D, anti-codon, and T loops). Lineage: Bacteria; Pseudomonadati; Pseudomonadota; Alphaproteobacteria; Candidatus Pelagibacterales; Candidatus Pelagibacteraceae. The record is from RNAcentral.